UAUGUGAUCGUCUCUCGCAUAUCAAUAAGCGGAGGAAAAGAAACUAACAAGGAUUCCCCUAGUAACGGCGAGGUGAAGCGGGAAGAGCUCAAACUUUGAAAUCUUAAAGGGUUUCCCUUUACGAAUUGUAGUUUGAAGAAGUGUUUUCUGUUGAGGUUUUGGUAAAAGUUCUUUGGAAUAGGACAUCAUAGAGGGUGAGAAUCCCGUAUUUGACCUUUACUUUCAACUUUGUGAUACACUUUCAAAGAGUCGGAUUGUUUGGGAAUGCAGUCCAAAAUGGGUGGUAAAUUUCAUCUAAAGCUAAAUAUUGGCGAGAGACCGAUAGCGAACAAGUACCGUGAGGGAAAGAUGAAAAGAACUUUGAAAAGAGAGUUAAACAGUACGUGAAAUUGUCAAAAGGGAAGCGUUUGACACCAGUGUUGUUUUUCUGAAAAUCAAUUAAAGAACUGUUUAUGCUAAGCUGUUUAGACUUUAUCAGCUAUCUGUUUAGUUUUGAGCUUUUCUUUAAUGCACUUUUCAGUUAACAAGUCAACAUCAAUUUCUUUUGCUGUAAAAAAGCUUGAGGAAGGUGGCUUGAGAUUCGUCUUAAGUGUUUAUAGCCUCUUGCCUAUGCAGUCGGAGAGAUUGAGGUCUGCAGCGUAGAUCCUUCGGGGCUAAAUGCAUUUGUGCUAAGUUAUAGCAUUUUAUAGACAACUUGUUGACUAUGAUUUGUCUUGUAGCUUACUCGCUUAUGUUAUUUUACCUACGCUUAGGAUGUUGAGUAGCGACAUACGCAC
RNAcentral lists this ribosomal RNA (776 nucleotides) under uncultured Neocallimastigales. RNAcentral's name for it is "partial large subunit ribosomal RNA". It matches the Rfam family "Eukaryotic large subunit ribosomal RNA", at positions 24 to 649 of the family's 3401-position model. Lineage: Eukaryota; Fungi; Neocallimastigomycota; Neocallimastigomycetes; Neocallimastigales. The record is from RNAcentral.